GACGAACGCUGGCGGCGUGCUUAACACAUGCAAGUCGAGCGAUGAAGUUCCUUCGGGAAUGGAUUAGCGGCGGACGGGUGAGUAACACGUGGGUAACCUGCCUCAUAGAGGGGAAUAGCCUUUCGAAAGGAAGAUUAAUACCGCAUAAGAUUGUGGCACCGCAUGGUGCAGCAAUUAAAGGAGUAAUCCGCUAUGAGAUGGACCCGCGUCGCAUUAGCUAGUUGGUGAGGUAACGGCUCACCAAGGCGACGAUGCGUAGCCGACCUGAGGGGGUGAUCGGCCACAUUGGGACUGAGACACGGCCCAGACUCCUACGGGAGGCAGCAGUGGGGAAUAUUGCACAAUGGGGGAAACCCUGAUGCAGCAACGCCGCGUGAGUGAUGACGGUCUUCGGAUUGUAAAACUCUGUCUUCAGGGACGAUAAUGACGGUACCUGAGGAGGAAGCCACGGCUAACUACGUGCCAGCCGCCGCAGUAA
RNAcentral lists this ribosomal RNA (478 nucleotides) under uncultured bacterium. RNAcentral's name for it is "partial 16S ribosomal RNA". It matches the Rfam family "Bacterial small subunit ribosomal RNA", at positions 28 to 523 of the family's 1533-position model. The record is from RNAcentral.